RNAcentral lists this ribosomal RNA (376 nucleotides) under uncultured organism. RNAcentral describes it as "partial 16S ribosomal RNA". It matches the Rfam family "Bacterial small subunit ribosomal RNA", at positions 525 to 896 of the family's 1533-position model. The record is from RNAcentral.
GUAGGGUGGGCAAGCGUUGUCCGGAUUUACUGGGCGUAAAGCGCGCGCAGGCGGGCCAAUAAGUCCCGGGGUUAAGUUCCACGGGCUCAACCGUGGGCAGCCCCGGGAUACUGCUGGCCCUUGAGGCAUCCAGAGGAGAGUGGAAUUCCCGGUGUAGUGGUGGAAUGCGUAGAUAUCGGGAGGAACACCAGUGGCGAAAGCGGCUCUCUGGGGAUGUCCUGACGCUGAGGCGCGAAAGCGUGGGGAGCGAACCGGAUUAGAUACCCGGGUAGUCCACGCCGUAAACGAUGAGUACUAGCUGUCGGGGGUGUCGACUCCCUCGGUAGCGCAGCUAACGCGUUAAGUACUCCGCCUGGGGACUACGGCCGCAAGGCUA